UYUUCAAUUUUCGGCCCAAGAGCAAGUUAGCCUUGGCCGUGUGUCGGUUUCCUGUGUUGURUACCUACUAUAAUGGAAUUCGAAUGUGCCAASWUUUUGUUAUUCGCCUUGUGCUGUCCCAUCGGUUGUCCCUUUGGUGUGCGGUUUCGGGUGAACCUCRAAGUGAUCUUCAUGUUCUUCGUCACCGAMGAAAUGUGUUGUUGGCGCGGCCCAUGAAGAUUGCUUGAGCUCUCGGAUGCGGAAUAUGCGGAGGGUAGUAGGCCUACGGCCUCUCUUUGCCCGAAUUAAGCGUUUAUUCGCUCAUUACCGAACGACGGCCGGCGGUGCCUUGAUGUGCUUGGAGCCCUCAGGUUUUGGCAUCAUC
RNAcentral lists this unclassified non-coding RNA (364 nucleotides) under Thiollierea fritillarioides. RNAcentral describes it as "partial external transcribed spacer". The record is from RNAcentral. Lineage: Eukaryota; Viridiplantae; Streptophyta; Magnoliopsida; Gentianales; Rubiaceae.